RNAcentral lists this ribosomal RNA (254 nucleotides) under uncultured bacterium. RNAcentral describes it as "partial 16S ribosomal RNA". It matches the Rfam family "Bacterial small subunit ribosomal RNA", at positions 524 to 776 of the family's 1533-position model. The record is from RNAcentral.
UACGGGGGGGGCAAGCGUUGUUCGGAAUUACUGGGCGUAAAGGGCUCGUAGGCGGCCAACUAAGUCAGACGUGAAAUCCCCCGGCUUAACCAGGGAACUGCGUCUGAUACUGGAUGGCUUGAGUUUGGGAGAGGGAUGCGGAAUUCCAGGUGUAGCGGUGAAAUGCGUAGAUAUCUGGAGGAACACCGGUGGCGAAGGCGACAUCCUGGACCAUCACUGACGCUGAGUGAGCGAAAGCCAGGGGAGCAAACGGG